RNAcentral lists this ribosomal RNA (460 nucleotides) under uncultured bacterium. RNAcentral's name for it is "partial 16S ribosomal RNA". It matches the Rfam family "Bacterial small subunit ribosomal RNA", at positions 338 to 795 of the family's 1533-position model. The record is from RNAcentral.
CCUACGGGAGGCAGCAGUGAGGAAUAUUGGUCAAUGGGCGCAAGCCUGAACCAGCCAAGUAGCGUGCAGGAUGACUGCCCUACGGGUUGUAAACUUCUUUUAUAAAGGAAUAAAGCGAGUCACGUGUGCCUUUUUGCAUGUACUGUAUGAAUAAGGAUCGGCUAACUCCGUGCCAGCAGCCGCGGUAAUACGGAGGAUCCGGGCGUUAUCCGGAUUUAUUGGGUUUAAAGGGAGCGUAGAGUGGUUGUUAAGUGAGGUGUGAAAGUUUGCGGAGCAACCCUAAAAUUGCAAUUGGUACUGGCAGGCUUGAGUACAGUGGAGGCAGGCGGAAUUCGUGGUGUAGCGGUGAAAUGCUUAGAUAUCACGAAGAACUCCGAUUGCGAAGGCAGCCUACUAAACUGCAACUGACAUUGAUGCUCGAAAGUGUGGGUAUCAAACAGGAUUAGAUACCCCUGUAGUC